UACGGAGGGUGCAAGCGUUAUCCGGAUUCACUGGGUUUAAAGGGUGCGUAGGUGGGUCUGUAAGUCAGUGGUGAAAUCUCCGGGCUUAACCUGGAAACUGCCAUUGAUACUAUAGCUCUUGAAUUUUCUGGAGGUAAGCGGAAUAUGUCAUGUAGCGGUGAAAUGCUUAGAUAUGACAUAGAACACCAAUUGCGAAGGCAGCUUGCUACAGGAAUAUUGACACUGAGGCACGAAAGCGUGGGGAUCAAACAGG
RNAcentral lists this ribosomal RNA (253 nucleotides) under uncultured bacterium. RNAcentral describes it as "partial 16S ribosomal RNA". It matches the Rfam family "Bacterial small subunit ribosomal RNA", at positions 524 to 776 of the family's 1533-position model. The record is from RNAcentral.